Molecule: ribosomal RNA, 584 nt
Filed under: uncultured bacterium
Lineage: Bacteria
Description: bacterial SSU rRNA
Rfam family: Bacterial small subunit ribosomal RNA
Source: RNAcentral
GGCCUGUUUCAUGCAAGUCGAGCGAUGGAUUUGAGAUNGCGGCGGACGGGUGAGUAACACGUGGGUAACCUGCCCAUAAGACUGGGAUAACUCCGGGAAACCGGGGCUAUACCGGAUAAUAUUUUGAACUGCAUGGUUCGAAAUUGAAAGGCGGCUUCGGCUGUCGCUUAUGGAUGGACCCGCGUCGCAUUAGCUAGUUGGUGAGGUAACGGCUCACCAAGGCAACGAUGCGUAGCCGACCUGAGAGGGUGAUCGGCCACACUGGGACUGAGACACGGCCCAGACUCCUACGGGGAGGCAGCAGUAGGGAAUCUUCCGCAAUGGACGAAAGUCUGACGGAGCAACGCCGCGUGAGUGAUGAAGGCUUUCGGGUCGUAAAACUCUGUUGUUAGGGAAGAACAAGUGCUAGUUGAAUAAGCUGGCACCUUGACGGUACCUAACCAGAAAGCCACGGCGUAACUACGUGCCAGCAGCCGCGGGGAAAUACCGUAAGGUUGGCAAAGGCGUUAUCCCGGAAUUCAUUUGGGNCGUUAAAGCGCGCCGCAGGUGGUUUCUUAAGUCUGAUGUGAAAGCCCACGGGGUCA